CCUACGGGUGGCAGCAGUGAGGAAUAUUGGUCAAUGGACGAGAGUCUGAACCAGCCAAGUAGCGUGAAGGAUGACUGCCCUAUGGUUUGUAAACUUCUUUUAUAUGGGAAUAAAAUGUUCCACGUGUGGGAUUUUGUAUGUACCAUAUGAAUAAGGAUCGGCUAACUCCGUGCCAGCAGCCGCGGUAAUACGGAGGAUCCGAGCGUUAUCCGGAUUUAUUGGGUUUAAAGGGAGCGUAGGUGGAUUGUUAAGUCAGUUGUGAAAGUUUGCGGCUCAACCGUAAAAUUGCAGUUGAAACUGGCAGUCUUGAGUGCAGUAGAGGUGAGCGGAAUUCGUGGUGUAGCGGUGAAAUGCUUAGAUAUCACGAAGAACUCCGAUUGCGAAGGCAGUUCACUGGACUGCAACUGACACUGAGGCUCGAAAGUGUGGGUAUCAAACAGGAUUAGAUACCCGGGUAGUC
RNAcentral lists this ribosomal RNA (460 nucleotides) under uncultured bacterium. RNAcentral describes it as "partial 16S ribosomal RNA". It matches the Rfam family "Bacterial small subunit ribosomal RNA", at positions 338 to 795 of the family's 1533-position model. The record is from RNAcentral.